RNAcentral lists this ribosomal RNA (378 nucleotides) under uncultured bacterium. Its description in RNAcentral is "bacterial SSU rRNA". It matches the Rfam family "Bacterial small subunit ribosomal RNA", at positions 521 to 896 of the family's 1533-position model. The record is from RNAcentral.
UAAUACGUAGGGAGCAAGCGUUGUUCGGAUUUACUGGGCGUAAAGGGCGCGUAGGCGGCCUGACAGGUCACUUGUGAAAUCUCCGAGCUUAACUCGGAACGGUCAAGUGAAACCAACAGGCUAGAGUGCAGAAAGGGCAAUCGGAAUUCUUGGUGUAGCGGUGAAAUGCGUAGAUAUCAAGAGGAACACCUGAGGCGAAGGCGGGUUGCUAGGCUGACACUGACGCUGAGGCGCGAAAGCCAGGGGAGCAAACGGGAUUAGAUACCCCGGUAGUCCUGGCCCUAAACGAUGAAUACUUGGUGUCUGGAGUUAUUAUUGCUCCGGGUGCCGUAGCUAACGUUUUAAGUAUUCCGCCUGGGGAGUACGCACGCAAGUGUG